Myodes glareolus (Bank vole) is the source of this 670-nucleotide non-coding RNA. The record is from RefSeq and is a predicted model, not a curated record. NCBI's taxonomy places the organism in Eukaryota, Metazoa, Chordata, Mammalia, Rodentia, Cricetidae.
CAAAGAUAGAACAAUCCUCCCUUUUCCAUGUCCUUCAAAUAUACUGCCAGCUAAGAGAUUUACAGCGGAGCACUGGACUGAACUUCCAAAGUCCAGCCGAAGAGUGAGAGGAAUGAGAAUGUAAGCAAAGAGAUCAUGACCGUGAUGGAGAUACCCACUGAAUCAGCGUGCCUGAGGUGACAUGAUAAUUGUGGGUCUAGAGAGAGAUGAGCUGAUGACAUUCCUUCCUUAUAACUACUUCUUAGGGCCUCAUUCCAAAUGGGUGCUUAUCAAAGGACCGGCCAGGUGAGUGUUUCUUUUUCUCUUCAGUAAUAGUGAGAGCUGUAAGUGGUAGAAGGAAGCAGAGUUUUCUGUAAUAAAAUGAUUAGAGAAUUCUCUGUUUAGUUUUAUUUUGGGCCUAAUUAUAUCAACAGCAAACACAAAAGAUGUAUGUAGACAAAAAUAUCAUUGUAAUGAUUUGUAAAAGUAUAGAUUUUCCUCGCUGUGACCUCUGAUUGUAAUGUAUGUGACGGUAGAAGGUGGCCUAUUAGAAAGGCGACAGGCCCUAGUAGAAGUGUGGAUAGAGAGACAGGGAAGGAUAAUAGGGUGAAGCUGAUUAAUAGAUAUUAUGUAUUGAAUGAAAAAAUAAUGAAAUCUAUGUCUUUUUUUACAGUAAAUGUACAUUCAUAUC